GGCGGGGUAGCUCAGGUGGUUAGAGCGUCGGAUUCAUAACCCGAAGGUCACGAGUUCAACUCUCGUCCCCGCUA
This 74-nucleotide transfer RNA is filed under the name Bacteroides sp. RNAcentral's name for it is "tRNA-Met". It matches the Rfam family "tRNA". From Rfam's summary of the family: Transfer RNA (tRNA) molecules are approximately 80 nucleotides in length. Lineage: Bacteria; Pseudomonadati; Bacteroidota; Bacteroidia; Bacteroidales; Bacteroidaceae. The record is from RNAcentral. RNAcentral also lists the same sequence under 3 other names.